RNAcentral lists this long non-coding RNA (1194 nucleotides) under Helianthus annuus (common sunflower). RNAcentral's name for it is "hypothetical non coding rna". Lineage: Eukaryota; Viridiplantae; Streptophyta; Magnoliopsida; Asterales; Asteraceae. The record is from RNAcentral.
UAUAGUCCGCUAAAAUUUACCACCAUAUCUAUUAGCACCCCUCUCCCUCUGUAUACAUCGCUGGAACCCUAAUCACUUUGGCGGACUGUAACAAAAGUGGACUUCUCAAACGGUGGAUUCUUUCUACUUGUUGAUCAUCAUUCCCUUCUCACAGGUUAGGGUUUCUCAUGAAUCAUCGCUUUUCUCCUCAUUUUCAUGGGUAUCCGUAUGGAUUUUCAUGAUUUCAUGGGUAUCCGUAAGGAUGUAAUGGUGUUCAUGAGUGGUAAUUAGUUUUAACGACUGUAUUUCUUUAAUGCAUGUGCUGUUAUGUUCCUCUUUCGUUAAUGAUGUUCAUCUGACGAUCCAUUUUCUUCUUAUUGCAUUUAUUGGAUAUCUUUGGUGGCGUAGUGUAUGCAUUCUAGGUGUUCGAUGAAUUGUCUCACAGAAUUAUUGCUAUAAGGAUCUCAUAGAUGAGUAACAGUUGUGUUUGUUUCAUCUGAUUAUCACAUAGCAAUACGAUAAGUUGAUGUGUUUAGUAUCAUCUGUUCUUGCAGAGUUUGUGUUCUUAUAACUUUCCACUCUAAUGGUAGUUUGUUUGCGAAGUGUGCUGAUCGAAGCUACUUAGCCUAUCACAUAAGCAGUUUUAAUGCUAAUUAAGCUGGUAGUUUCAUUCUGUUGUUGCCUCUCGGUCUCUUUUUAUUUUAGUGUUUGUAUAUGGCCAUUUUAGUGCCUUUGAUUUCGGACGUUGUCUUUCUCAUUUCCACCAACUUUGACAACAUAUAUUGAGUGGUUAAGAUAAUAAGAAACUACCUGGUUACUUGUAACAAUGUCAAGUUGUUUGGGGAGUUCUUUAGUAAUAAUGAUGACCAGUGGCGGAACCAGAAAAAACUUUUAGGGGUAUCCUAAUUUUUUUUUAACCUAAAUUCAUAAAACGGAUACAUUUUUUUACUGUCCUUUCAGGCAGUGACAUAUAUUAUUUAACUAAUAUUUUGUUUCUAUAUUAACAAUCGUGUGUCGACUUCUAUUUUUUUAACAAUCAAUGUAGUAUAAACACAAAAACGAUGACCGAAUACUUUUAACAUUACUUAAAUUGCUAUUUAAGGAUUUGAUAUUUUUUUAUUAAAAAGUUAGAAAAAGGAUAGAUCUAUACAAUACAUAAUUUAUUUAAACAUUCCACAGAUAAAACAGUUUACUAAAAAUUUAAUAAUCAGUAAA